UGUUUUAGAGUUUUCUAUCGAGAAAACUAUCGCGAAAAAAAAAACACUCGAAAAAGAAAAAGAAGAAAUCAUGGAGAAAGGUUGAAGGUUCAUCGAUCUCUUCUUCUCCUCCUCACCUCUCUCCAUAUCUCUCUCUUCUCUUCACCAUAAUCUUCUUCCUUUUAUUCUUCUCUCUCUUUCCUCUUCACAAAACAACAUCCCCGACUACUUUCAUCUUUGAAAAGGUAAUUGAUCGAUUUUUAUUACUUCUUCAUGUUUCUAUUCAAUCAAUUAUUGAUAUAAUUAUUAUAUCUAAGAAUAAUUUCUACUCAAUCUCUAAUUUUGACAUUUAUCUUCUUAGGUUUUUAACUUUUUGUUGCAAGUGAUUACUCAAUAAUCAAUUGGAAUUAGAGAAAGGUAUUAACAAUUGUUAUUAUCAACAGAUAGUAUUAAAAUUUGGGGUUUUCUUCUCUAGGAUUUGGGGGUUUGACUGAAUUUAGCUUAGCUUUUGAACUAGUGUAUUUUCUGGGAUUUUGCGACAUGGGAAUUUUCCCUGGGAUUUUGCGAGCAUGGGUUUAGAAGAUGGGAAUUUUCUCCUCUCAAUAGUCUUUGGUUAGAAUAACCUGUUCAGUGAGUUAUUCCAUUUCCUUUAAUUGUUAUGACCAUACAUCCUCCAAUGACCAUUUCUAUCGAACGCAAACUUAAGAAAACAGAGAAGUCUCUAUUAAAUUGUUCUGCAUAUGCUUUAUAUACAUUGGAAGGGCUUGUCCUUGCCAAAUAAACAUUGCCCUUAUUAUUCUCGAUACCUUGAGGAACCGGCAUGAAACGUAAUUGUGCAACGACGUUAGACAUUUUGUUUGUUGCAUUCAAGCUAGAAAAGUGCAUGCAUGUCAGUCAACAACUUUAGAAGAUGUAACUCCUUCAAAACUCAUAAUACAAGUAGUCAAGUACUGUAUGAUGUGAUUUUUUUUAACCAUUAUACCUGAGAGAGCCAAUGAAGAGCAUAGGAAGAAUGAACAAAGUUUAAGGUUUUGGUUGGAAAGAGCCUGUUAUAAAACGAUCCUGGCACCCCUGCCACAAAACUAGGUCUAACUUCUUGUCCAUUUUCUGACCUGAAUUUCUUAAAGAAGUAAGGAAUCGAUUUAAAGAUGGUGUUAAAAUCAUUUUCUGGAAGAUCAUUUAAAAACACUUGAAACUCAGGUGGCGAACGUCCCAAUUUCUGACAGACUACACUGAUAGCUUUUAGAAGCUCGGAAAUGACAAAUAGUGAGUUAGGUCCUGAAGAACAACCCAGGUCUGCGAUUGUUAAACACUGAGGGGAAGUUCUGUUGUAAAGUUCUACAAUAGUCUCUUCUAUAAAUGGCUUUAAAUAAUAUAAACAAAACAUUAAAACCAGCUUAGAACUUGAGAUAAGUAGCAGAAAAAGUUGCUUAGCUCUAAUGGCUACCAAACACCCACUUCAGCUCAACAUCUUGAGCUUUUCAAUAGAACAAAUGAUGGGAAACCUGAUAAUCGUGUGUUGGGAGUUGAGUUUGAUGUGUUUGAGAAUCAAGAGUUUAAUGAUAUUGAUAAUAAAUUAAUAAUCAUGUGGGUAUUGAUCUAUGUUCACUUACUUCCAUUGCUGCACAUUCUGCUGGUUAUUGGUCUGAUGUUCAACAUGAUAAAUUUCAUAAGUUGAAGCUUAAUAAGGGUAUGAAUUAUCAAGUUUGGAUCGAUUACUCAGAUUUUUUGUUAAAUGUUACUAUGGCUCCUGCAGGUAUGAAAAGGCCUAGAAAAGUGAGUUAUUCCAUUUCCUUUAAUUGUUAUGGCCAAAGUAAGUAUAGCUGCAAAUCAUAUCAUCUGUUGUUUGUGUACUGGGAUUGCAACUUGCAAGAAAACGAUCUAAAUAGACUUGUUUGGGCUCCAUGAACCAUGAAAUAUUGAGUUUAAGCUGUAUUUUUUCUAUAUUGCAAUGGUUUUGCAUGUGCAUAAUGUUUUUGCAUGUGCAUAAUGUUUUUGCGUAUAUACUACAAUAUAUACUACAAAUGCAUGUGCAUUUUUCUGAAAUGAUUAACACUCUUUCUAAUCGUAAUGUAGUGAAAUGGCACAAGCUUUGCCCAACAGUUCUACGCAAGGUUCAUCAAGUAGUGAUUCCAGUUCCAGUGAUGAUGAUUAGGAUGAUGAUAUGAUAGAUUUACUUAUGGUGAGAUAUAUUCUCGAAUGUGAAAGUCUUUUCGUGGAUAAGAUUCCUUGUAGGACAUCUAUGCUUAGUGGCAAGAAAUACAUAGAGUAUGUUACAAGAGAAGGAUUAGUAGUGGAAGAUGAGUUGGACCUUGGCGUGGUACAAGAGGGUAUUCAAGUAGAUAUGUCCCAACAGAACCAGAUGAAUGCAGUUAGAGAUGGUAUUACAAAUGAGAUGUGGAAUGACUACAAUUGUCGUCGUUAAUUCUUUAUAUAUUUAGUAUUUAGCUUAUUUUUUAGUGUUGAAUUUGUCAUAUGUAGUUUUAUGUAUUGGUAUUUUGGAUUAUGUAAACAAUGUUUCAUUAUUGUAAGGAUUUUGUAGAAUGCACUUUAUUAUUU
RNAcentral lists this long non-coding RNA (2538 nucleotides) under Aquilegia coerulea. RNAcentral describes it as "long non-coding RNA (ACOE_LNC002322)". Lineage: Eukaryota; Viridiplantae; Streptophyta; Magnoliopsida; Ranunculales; Ranunculaceae. The record is from RNAcentral.